ACCUACGGGGGGCAGCAGUCGAGAAUCAUUCACAAUGGGGGAAACCCUGAUGGUGCGACGCCGCGUGGGGGAAUGAAGGUCUUCGGAUUGUAAACCCCUGUCAUGUGGGAGCAAAUUAAAAAGAUAGUACCACAAGAGGAAGAGACGGCUAACUCUGUGCCAGCAGCCGCGGUAAUACAGAGGUCUCAAGCGUUGUUCGGAAUCACUGGGCGUAAAGCGUGCGUAGGCUGUUUCGUAAGUCGUGUGUGAAAGGCGCGGGCUCAACCCGCGGACGGCACAUGACACUGCGAGACUAGAGUAAUGGG
RNAcentral lists this ribosomal RNA (305 nucleotides) under uncultured bacterium. Its description in RNAcentral is "bacterial SSU rRNA". It matches the Rfam family "Bacterial small subunit ribosomal RNA", at positions 337 to 653 of the family's 1533-position model. The record is from RNAcentral.